UACGUAGGGGGCAAGCGUUAUCCGGAUUUACUGGGUGUAAAGGGAGCGCAGACGGUAAUGCAAGUCAGAUGUGAAAGGCAUGGGCUUAACCUGUGGACUGCAUUUGAAACUGUAAUACUUGAGUGCCGGAGAGGUAAGCGGAAUUCCUAGUGUAGCGGUGAAAUGCGUAGAUAUUAGGAGGAACACCAGUGGCGAAGGCGGCUUACUGGACGGUAACUGACGUUGAGGCUCGAAAGCGUGGGGAGCAAAC
This 250-nucleotide ribosomal RNA is filed under the name uncultured prokaryote. RNAcentral describes it as "partial 16S ribosomal RNA". It matches the Rfam family "Bacterial small subunit ribosomal RNA", at positions 524 to 773 of the family's 1533-position model. The record is from RNAcentral.